UGCACUUUGGCAAAUGCAUAUGC
RNAcentral lists this non-coding RNA (23 nucleotides) under Arabidopsis thaliana (thale cress). Lineage: Eukaryota; Viridiplantae; Streptophyta; Magnoliopsida; Brassicales; Brassicaceae. The record is from RNAcentral.